RNAcentral lists this ribosomal RNA (468 nucleotides) under uncultured bacterium. Its description in RNAcentral is "partial 16S ribosomal RNA". It matches the Rfam family "Bacterial small subunit ribosomal RNA", at positions 28 to 507 of the family's 1533-position model. The record is from RNAcentral.
GACGAACGCUGGCGGCGUGCUUAACACAUGCAAGUCGAACGGAAAGGCCCUGCUUUUGUGGGGUGCUCGAGUGGCGAACGGGUGAGUAACACGUGAGUAACCUGCCCUUGACUUUGGGAUAACUUCAGGAAACUGGGGCUAAUACCGGAUAGGAGCUCCUGCUGCAUGGUGGGGGUUGGAAAGUUUCGGCGGUUGGGGAUGGACUCGCGGCUUAUCAGCUUGUUGGUGGGGUAGUGACUUACCAAGGCUUUGACGGGUAGCCGGCCUGAGAGGGUGACCGGCCACCUUGGGACUGCGAUACGGCCCAGACUCCUACGGGAGGCAGCAGUGGGGAAUAUUGCACAAUGGGCGGAAGCCUGAUGCAGCAACGCCGCGUGCGGGAUGACGGCCUUCGGGUUGUAAACCGCUUUCGCCUGUGACGAAGCGUGAGUGACGGUAAUGGGUAAAGAAGCACCGGCUAACUACGUG